AUGAUUUUUUGGGAAAUUCAUCAGCGUCCAAUGCGUGCCACGCGUCCAAAACAAUACAAAAAGGAAAAGAGUUCAAAUCACCCGGAUGAUUUUCUGGGAAAUUCAUCUUCGUCCAACGAGUGCCACGUGUCCAGGCCCACGCACCGGCCGUCGCUCUCCCUUAUCUCCAGGCGCCUUUUCUCCCGCGUUGCUCGUCUGGAAAAUUCCCCUUUUUCUUUCUCCUACCUCUGCCUUCUUCCCCGCUUGUCUUUCUCCAUGACCUCAACCUGGCCGGCGGCCACCGGAGCUACGAGCUGGCCACCGGAGCUGCGACUCACUGCGUGCUGCUGCCAUAAGUUGCUGCAACCCACGGAAGGGAAAGUGCGGUGCUGCGAGUGCCUGAUGUACGGUCGUGAUGAGAUCUUGGCCGACAUAUUUUCUACAUCCCCGCUUCAUUUCGGCGCCGGUGUUGCAAUGGAGCUUCGCUAG
This 468-nucleotide ribosomal RNA is filed under the name Triticum aestivum (bread wheat). RNAcentral's name for it is "partial small subunit ribosomal RNA". Lineage: Eukaryota; Viridiplantae; Streptophyta; Magnoliopsida; Poales; Poaceae. The record is from RNAcentral.